Apis dorsata (giant honeybee) is the source of this 237-nucleotide long non-coding RNA. RefSeq lists it as uncharacterized. NCBI's taxonomy places the organism in Eukaryota, Metazoa, Arthropoda, Insecta, Hymenoptera, Apidae. The record is from RefSeq and is a predicted model, not a curated record. The transcript is spliced from 2 exons.
UAUGAAAUUUGAAGAAGCAAUAAUUCGAAAUAUAAUGUAAAUUAAUAAGAUAGAUUGCUUGCUUCCAAACCAAUAGGAUUAUAUCUGCAUUGGUUUCGGAUUCCCUCAUAAGUAGAUUAAAUAAAUAAUUGAAUAUAAACCUCUUAACCUGUUAGAAUCGCGAAUAUAAUUCUCAGUAUAAAUCGAAAAAGGUGGUGGUUUUUCGAGAAAGGAUAAAAUCGAUAAUUCAAAAUUUCU